GUGAAACGGUUCUACCGUAUUUUGGUAAAUCAACCUAGCCAUCGUCAAUCUCAUCGUGUGGUUUGUAGCGAAAAAACUUGUUCUUCCAUUUUUUGUAAAAUGGCGAGACUUGCCCCACUCUUAGUGCAGUAAGUGACGAAUAAAUUCAAGUUAAAUAGUGACAGCUUGGUUAUAUUUAAUUAAACACUGAAUUAAUUUUUGAAACUGCUCGUAUCGUGUAAGCAGCAUCUACCCAGGGCCUUGUUGCAGAGUUAUUGUAUAAGGUUAGUGUAACAUACAAUCAGUACAAGAAAUGAUGGAAUUAUGUUUAACUUAAUUGUACGGUCCCGUUGAUUGUGUGAUCACUUACAAAAUAUUCAGUUUAGUAUGAAUUUGAACCGAUCUGUUUAGAUGUUGUAUAUGAAGCUACAUUUUUAAAAUAACAAAAAAGGUUUAUUAAAACUCGAUAAACAUACACUACAUAGUUUGGACAAACAACAAAAGAGUUAAGCAGCACCAAAGGACAUCUUAAGCCACUACAGCUAAAGCUAACAAAGAAACAGCGGAAGCAGAAAGUUCACCGAACAUUAGGCUUUAAAAACAAUACACAGAAAAACACAAAGCAACGUAAAAUCAUGACGGGCGUGGAAGGGAAAAUGGGAAAAGCGCUUCCGUAAAGCUACCUCAUCGUAAAAUGCCUUCAGAUCGUUAUCGGAGAAAAUGAAUGAAAUUAUAAAACGUGCCCGACCGGGGGUCUGCUGAUGAUGCGGGAAGGUUGGAAUGAAAGAGACCGAAGUGUUCGCUCCACCCGGCAGUUAGGAUAUGGUGUAGCAAAGCUACUGGCAGCAUGAUUCUUGGAAAGUUGGCGAACAACCAACCGAAGUGAGGUGCUUCCGGGUUCAAUUUGUAGCGCUUUCCCUAAAACUUCGGUGUGUUUGUGUGCAGCUAUACAAACGGAUUUGUUGUUAAUCGAUGAAAAACGAGCAAAACAAUGGUAGAUUGGUCUCCGACAACGAUUGUGUGCUGCGGCGUUGUGAGGGCA
This is a long non-coding RNA of Anopheles merus, 1021 nucleotides long. RefSeq lists it as uncharacterized. The record is from RefSeq and is a predicted model, not a curated record. The transcript is spliced from 3 exons. NCBI's taxonomy places the organism in Eukaryota, Metazoa, Arthropoda, Insecta, Diptera, Culicidae.